This 273-nucleotide ribosomal RNA is filed under the name uncultured bacterium. Its description in RNAcentral is "partial 16S ribosomal RNA". It matches the Rfam family "Bacterial small subunit ribosomal RNA", at positions 524 to 796 of the family's 1533-position model. The record is from RNAcentral.
UACGUAGGGUGCAAGCGUUGUCCGGAUUCAUUGGGCGUAAAGAGCUCGUAGGCGGUCUGUCGCGUCUGCUGUGAAAACCCGGGGCUUAACCCCGGGCCUGCAGUGGGUACGGGCAGACUAGAGUGCGGUAGGGGAGACUGGAAUUCCUGGUGUAGCGGUGAAAUGCGCAGAUAUCAGGAGGAACACCGGUGGCGAAGGCGGGUCUCUGGGCCGUAACUGACGCUGAGGAGCGAAAGCGUGGGUAGCGAACAGGAUUAGAAACCCCCGUAGUCC